RNAcentral lists this ribosomal RNA (504 nucleotides) under uncultured bacterium. RNAcentral describes it as "partial 16S ribosomal RNA". It matches the Rfam family "Bacterial small subunit ribosomal RNA", at positions 30 to 523 of the family's 1533-position model. The record is from RNAcentral.
AUUGAACGCUGGCGGCAGGCCUAACACAUGCAAGUCGAGCGGUAGCACAGAGAGCUUGCUCUCGGGUGACGAGUGGCGGACGGGUGAGUAAUGUCUGGGAAACUGCCCGAUGGAGGGGGAUAACUACUGGAAACGGUAGCUAAUACCGCAUAACGUCGCAAGACCAAAGUGGGGGACCUUCGGGCCUCACACCAUCGGAUGUCCCCAGAUGGGAUCAGCUAGUAGGUGGGGUAAUGGCUCACCUAGGCGACGAUCCCUAGCUGGUCUGAGAGGAUGACCAGCCACACUGGAACUGAGACACGGUCCAGACUCCUACGGGAGGCAGCAGUGGGGAAUAUUGCACAAUGGGCGCAAGCCUGAUGCAGCCAUGCCGCGUGUAUGAAGAAGGCCUUCGGGUUGUAAAGUACUUUCAGCGGGGAGGAAGGCGGUGAAGUUAAUAGCUUCACCGAUUGACGUUACCCGCAGAAGAAGCAUCGGCUAACUCCGUGCCAGCCGCCGCCGUAA